RNAcentral lists this unclassified non-coding RNA (3450 nucleotides) under Anneissia japonica. RNAcentral describes it as "uncharacterized LOC117115707, transcript variant X1". Lineage: Eukaryota; Metazoa; Echinodermata; Crinoidea; Comatulida; Comatulidae. The record is from RNAcentral.
ACAGGAAGAUGAAUGUAGAUGACUGAAUUGAGAACUGUUUUUGUAAAAAUGGACACCGAUUUAUGUAGGAUUUUCACUUGUCUUAGUUGAUUUAUGUCUCUAUUGUGGGAACAUAUACCGAGGAUUAUACAUACUUGAUUGUUCUAUUGAAUAUUUGUUGGGUUAAACUGUCAAGAAUAUGGAGAACGAGACGAAACCUCGUUCGAGGACCCGCCGUCGUCAAAGAGCUCAGGAGAUGCGUCAGGCCAAACAGCAAAACCAUAAUGAAGGUGGAAGCGGGGACGAAGAGGAAUCGCCGCCGCAAAGCAGAGAAAGGGAGAGAGGAGCUAGACAUCGAAGCCUAAAAAGACACGAAAAGAAGAAGUCCGAGUCCUCUUCGUCCUCAUGUAGCUCUGGGGAAGAAUUUAUAAUAGAUGGCUUUGCAGUCGCUGCAUAUACGAGUCUUGAUGCUCUAGAGACCAUCGAUAAAUCAGCCUAGGAUCGAGAAGCCAGCACAUAGUUGAUCCCUAGCCUGCAAUGAAAACUAAUUGAAGUUCAGUGAACUUUCAAUGUAGUUUAGGCUAGGAAUAUUUGUUUAUGUUACUAACGCUGGUUGUAAACGGAAAAUUUAUUCACAUCAAAGAGGCAGCUGUUGACAAUAAUUACUCAUAGAAGAAUGUUUAAAUAAAACAAAAAACAAAAUUGACAAUCUAUCACCUUCUCAUUGGAUACAUUUUAUUUAACAUGAUAGAUUUACAUUCAAUAUGGCAUUCUCAGUCUGUGUAAAAAUGUAGUUUCCUUUCUAUGAUCAGUAUUAAAUAUUUAUUGUCCCUGUUGGAAUUCGAACCAAUACCCUAGUUUGUAAUGGAAGGAUUAUUCAUGAUUUCAUUAUUUAUAAUAAGGAGUUUGACGUUUAUUUCUUGCAGUUAUACAUAAUAUAAAUAUUCACUUGUUUUAUUUUGACACAGUAUAGGUAGGAUUUAUUUCAUGGUUUAUUUUUGUUGAUACAAUGCAUUUUAAUACAUUUUUAUCUAUACUUUUAUGUUGCUGCAAAAUAUCUCUCAAAAUUUAUAUUUAUUUAAGAUAGUUAUUGAUCAUUAACAGUUUACCCUACAUACUGUACAUGACUUGGUUGACAUCAAAUUAUACUUUAAUUAAUUUAUUAGGCCUAUAUACUGUACAUCCUAUGAAUCCAUGAAAUAUACAGAGUACUGAAAUCUACAAAAAUGUUUUUAUCCUCUUUUUUACAUAUGAUACAAAAUCAAUAAUUUUGUCAGACGUAUAGGUGUAGUACAGAUACAUAAUUUAAGGUUUCUUCUGAGUUUGAACAAGUAUCAAACUAAAUUCAAGGCGGUGAUUUAAAGAAAACAACAGGCUACAACUAGUGUAAUUCAUUUUAUGGCAAUUCACAAUUGUUUACACCAUCAACCAAAAGAAAUUACUAGUUGAUUGCUACUUUCAAAUAACCAGCAGCUCCUGCAGCUACCCUAGAGAAUAUUACAAUGUCACAAACACCAGUUGUAGAAAGAAAGGUGCUUGAAACUGAACCCCAAAUUAAAUUGCACAAUUGAGUGGAUUUCUGACUUCUAGCUCUCUAGCCUGAUCAGCCCCUGAGGAUUGUUUAAGCCUAGCCACAGCUAUGUGCUAACAAAAAGGUGAGUAAAGAAAGCCAUGUAGCGGAAAUGUUACUCACGGGACAUCAGCUUGCGAGAUGCUCCCAAGCAAACAGUUUCUCUUCGGUAAUCAAAUUAGAUUGACAUAGUCUGAGCUUCAAAAUAAUGAUAUGAAGGUCUCUAUUAAUACCUAGUUUUCUACAUUUUUUGAAUUGUAAAUGAUUAUCUUUGUAUGCAUGAUUGUGUAGACUAGAUAGGCCCUUUUUAAAAAAGUUUCAUUAUAAGGUUUAAGGAAUGGAGAUGUUUUUAGUUGUGCGAAAAAAAUCAUAGUACUUCAUAAUAUUUGAACCCAGAAACUUGGGAUUGAAAGGAUGGCAUCUUUACAGCUUUAUUGAUAUUCAGUGUUGCUGUUUUUAUUAUUAGGUUGAAUAAUGCACUAUAAAGCUGAAUAUACAUUACCUGUACCGUAGAGGUCUAGUGCAGUACUGUACUACCUGCAAUGAUGUGAUUUUAUUCAGACUUUUAGUAUAGUAUGUCAAAUUUAGCCAUGUAGUAAUGUUUUUACAUCCAAAUAAAAUGAAAGGAAAUCAAAUGAAUAAGAAAAGAUAAUGUGACUUAAAUAGGUACUAAAUUAUGAUGUUGAAUAGGAUGUGAGGCUCAGUUAAGGUACUGUGAGAUUGUGUAUGGAUACUGACAUAGUUUUACAAACCCAAUUAACGUUUGAAUAUGAAUGCAUUUGUAUAAUCUAUAUCUUUUAGUCUCUAAUGCUAAUAAAAUUGCCAAGGAAAUAUUUCUUUUUAGUUUUUCUUAGCAUGGAGUAAAAAUGUUUGUUCUUUAGUGGUAAAUGCUCAGCAGUGUGUUAUGUGUGAGAAAUUGCUGAACAGUUUUAAAAACUGUCCAUGCAUUAUCUGUACACAUGCACAGUUGACUUUCUGUCUGUAAAUUUCUACUGUCUGUAAAUUUCUACUCACUGACAAAUUAUGUUUCAUGUUUAUGUGCGAUGAUUUAAUUCAAAGUGUAGGUUGCGGUAAUACAAUGAAAAUUGGAGAAAAAUCUGUAAAAUGCAGUUCAAAUAAAUGUUAAUUCGGAUAAUCAACUAUAUAGUAAGGCUACAAUUACAGUAUGUUUGAUGUUUUGGCCUACAGGUAGUCUCUACUACUGUGCCAAGGCAUGACAGUACCUGUAGGAUGAUUAAGGUAUUUUACGAUCAAUUCUGUUUACCAGUGUUUUUCUAGUUCUACUGCAUAAGGCCUGGCAGUAUUGUCGGCAAACCAUUGAUGUUUGCAAGCCUAGCAUAGGUAGUCUACGUCCAAAUGUAUAGGAAUUUGACUCGACCCCGAUUUUAUGUAAAUGCCUUUAAGCCAAUAUAUCAAUGUAAUUGAGGAUUUCUUCUUCAAUGUAGAGCUGAAUAAAGCAAUAAAGGGCUGAUUAAGGUAAUAUGAGGCUAAAUAAAGGUAUUGCGUGGCUGAAUUAGGUUGUAAAAGAAAUAUAAAAUAAAAUAUUAUAUUAUGAACUAAAAUUACAACUGUUAAGACAAAUGUUAACCAGUUUUUUUUAUCAGCACUAAUUAUUAUAAUGUGUUAAUUAACAAGGUACUCUAAUGAUCAAAUGACCAGAUGAAAGAACUCCACUCCCUUAAAGCCUUAUAUUAUAUCCAUAAUGAGACUAUCUAUGUAGAGAAUCUUGUGUGUUUGUCUUGUAAAGGAAUUGCCACUUUAAAAAAAUUGCUUAGGCAAAUCCUUCACUAUUGUGCCUAAAGUUGAAUAGAUAAAUAGAUGAAAGUUUAAAAAUAAUACUUCUUAAGGCCAAGUAAAAAUAUAAAGUAGUUUCUUGCACUAAUAUUUUGAAAAAAAAAAAA